Ananas comosus (pineapple) is the source of this 2045-nucleotide RNA transcript. It is a transcript of the gene named E3 ubiquitin-protein ligase CIP8-like, with no coding region annotated. NCBI's taxonomy places the organism in Eukaryota, Viridiplantae, Streptophyta, Magnoliopsida, Poales, Bromeliaceae. The record is from RefSeq and is a predicted model, not a curated record. The transcript has 6 exons.
UAAAGUGGUCCACUUUAUCCCUCAACCAAACAAAACCGAUAAACCCUCGCUCGCCUUCUCGGACUCCAUGAUCAUCGAGCUCGUCCCCACGGCGGCGGCGGCGGAGGAAUCGCCAUUCCUCGGCGUUCGUGAUCUCGAUUCCCUCGGCAUCGACAUUAACGACACACGCACAGCGGAGUCCGAGUUCAGCGACGCUGUGCUCGGCGGCUCCGUCGCCGCGGCGGAAUCGCCGAACCCCGAUUCCUCCCCCGGUCUCGCGUCGGACGAUGGUGGGGAUCUGAAGCACGCCGACGCCGACGCCGGCGCCGGCGCCGGCGGCGAGCGCAACACGCCGGAGAAUUUGACCUCCGAGUUGGAAUCGAUCCAUGAAGCCGACUCCGGUUCCGGCACAGAAGAACAUGUCGACCAAGAGGAGGAGGAAGAGGAGGAGGAGGAGGAGGAAGCUCACAACCUUACUGCGGCGCUCGGCAUUAGCAUGGAGGAAAUUGUCUCACGCUUAGAAUGGCUUCAAAGAGUUGAUCCCGACGAAUUCAACGCGCUGGUUCGCGACAUCACCAACAUGUUCGAUCUUCUAGGGUUCGCGCUCAAUCCGUCGCAAGUUCGAGAAUUGAACGCCGAUAGCUCUGCGUCUGCGUCUCGAAGAGUCCGGUCGCUGAUCCUCUGCGUAAAUCGACUCAUCUGCAUCAUUUCUGCCACUCGCAUCCGUCAGGGCAGCCUCAGAAGAGGAAGCCAUCUUGCGGCGUCUAGAUUGGCCGUCGAGAGCCUCCCGUCGGUCCUCGUCACUGCCGAGGACUUCGGGGCCGACGGCAUGCUUUGCGUGGUUUGCGGCGAUGAGAUAUCGAUCGGGGACUGGGCCACGCCGUUGCCGUGUUCUCAUUACUACCACGGGGACUGCAUCGUGCCGUGGUUACGGAUUCGAAACACUUGCCCGCUGUGCCGCCGCGAGCUGCCCGCGGAAGAGAAUCCUGAGUAGUGCUUCGAAAGAUCGUCGGCCGGAAAGGUUUGAGCUUCUCUUUGUAGCAUCGUCACAAGCUUCAUAUCAACACUUGACGCUUUUUAGGGCUCGGAAUUUCAUUUCAGCUUCUGAUGCAGUAGAAUCUCCAGAUAGUUCAGUUUCCCUAAUAUCUAGUAAAGAUGGUUGCAACUGAAAAAGAAUAAGAAGCAGAGCCAGCCAAAGAAGCAGAAGCGCGUGUGAGAAUUUGAGACCCAAAAGCAGUUCGAAGCUGUUGUGAGGGACUUCAAUUAACACUCAUAACAGUAAAUGGCAUACAUGAUGAGCAGGCACUGUCAAUUCGGGCAUCGCUGAAGCUCUUUCAGAUUUUUGUGGAGUCGCCGCUGUUGUUGGAGAUCUAGUACUCUGAUGUGCCUGAGCUGUUGUUGGUGAAGAAGCAUUGUUGCGCUUCGGCCUGAGUCGGAAAAUCACAUUAAUCUGACACAGGACAACCAACUUGAAAUCUUCAGAAGUUGGUGGGGUUCGAGCCGGGUCGAGUCGCAUCUAUUUCUCGGUAACAAGUAGUUCUUAUUUAUACUCGAACCAAACGUAGUCAUACGAGUAUAAAACAAUAUAGGGAAUUUCUUUUAUUUUUAUUAUUUAUUUAUUUUAUUUAUGGACAAAGAUGUGUUUCCAAAGUGUUCAAAUUUUAAAGGAGGAUUACAUACUGGUAUAUUUUUUUAAAAGUUAAAAAAUAAUUUAUAUUUUUUUUUCAAAUUUUAAAUAAAUUUGCAAUGCCUCUCUAAAAUAUUUUAUACCUUCCAAAAAUAUUCUUUCUGUUAAAUUUCCUUCACUUUCCCCUCUCAUUUCUCUUCGUUUUUUUUUAUUUUUCUUAAUCUAGAAAAUCACUUUUUUUUUUUUUCAUAGUCUUAGUACUCCAUGUAUGAUACAACUUUUCUAAUAGCGAAGAAAUUAAAUUUUUACGAAUAAUUCUCUUUUCAACACAGAAUAAUUUGAUUUGAAAUUUGAUGGGAAGGACAUUACUAAUUUUGUAGGAUAUCCUUUUCUCCAUUGGAUUUUUUUUUUGUUUUUUUUUUUUUUUUUUUUUUUUUUU